RNAcentral lists this ribosomal RNA (292 nucleotides) under uncultured Streptococcaceae bacterium. RNAcentral describes it as "partial 16S ribosomal RNA". It matches the Rfam family "Bacterial small subunit ribosomal RNA", at positions 524 to 817 of the family's 1533-position model. Lineage: Bacteria; Bacillati; Bacillota; Bacilli; Lactobacillales; Streptococcaceae. The record is from RNAcentral.
UACGUAGGUUCCGAGCGUUGUCCGGAUUUAUUGGGCGUAAAGCGAGCGCAGGCGGUUAGAUAAGUCUGAAGUUAAAGGCUGUGGCUUAACCAUAGUACGCUUUGGAAACUGUUUAACUUGAGUGCAAGAGGGGAGAGUGGAAUUCCAUGUGUAGCGGUGAAAUGCGUAGAUAUAUGGAGGAACACCGGUGGCGAAAGCGGCUCUCUGGCUUGUAACUGACGCUGAGGCUCGAAAGCGUGGGGAGCAAACAGGAUUAGAUACCUGGUAGUCAAGGGCGUUAAUCGUGAAACCU